AUAUUUAUAGUUUAAUGGGAAAAUACAUCUUAAAUUGGGAUGAGAAAAUAAGUUCAAAUCUUAUUUAAAUAUA
This 73-nucleotide transfer RNA is filed under the name Clavaria fumosa. Its description in RNAcentral is "tRNA-Ile". It matches the Rfam family "tRNA". From Rfam's summary of the family: Transfer RNA (tRNA) molecules are approximately 80 nucleotides in length. Lineage: Eukaryota; Fungi; Basidiomycota; Agaricomycetes; Agaricales; Clavariaceae. The record is from RNAcentral.